UACCAGCACCCCGAGUGGUCGGGACGAUUAUUGGGCCUAAAGCAUCCGUAGCCGGUUCUACAAGUCUUCCGUUAAAUCCACCUGCUCAACAGUUGGGCUGCGGAGGAUACUAUAGAGCUAGGAGGCGGGAGAGGCAAGCGGUACUUAGUGGGUAGGGGUAAAAUCCGUUGAUCCAUUGAAGACCACCAGUGGCGAGGGCGGCUUGCCAGAACGCACUCGACGGUGAGGGAUGAAAGCUGGGGGAGCAAACCGG
This 253-nucleotide ribosomal RNA is filed under the name uncultured bacterium. Its description in RNAcentral is "partial 16S ribosomal RNA". It matches the Rfam family "Archaeal small subunit ribosomal RNA", at positions 474 to 727 of the family's 1478-position model. The record is from RNAcentral.